GACGAACGCUGGCGGCGUGCUUAACACAUGCAAGUCGAACGGAAAGGCCCUGCUUUUGUGGGGUGCUCGAGUGGCGAACGGGUGAGUAACACGUGAGUAACCUGCCCUUGACUUUGGGAUAACUUCAGGAAACUGGGGCUAAUACCGGAUAGGAGCUCCUGCUGCAUGGUGGGGGUUGGAAAGUUUCGGCGGUUGGGGAUGGACUCGCGGCUUAUCAGCUUGUUGGUGGGGUAGUGGCUUACCAAGGCUUUGACGGGUAGCCGGCCUGAGCGGGUGACCGGCUACAUUGGGACUGAGAUACGGCCCGCACUCCUACGGGAGGAAGCAGUGGCGAAUAUUGCACAAUGGGCGGAAGCCUGAUGCAGCAACGCCGCGUGCUGGUUGACGGCCUUCGGGUUGUAAACCGCAUUCGCCUGUGACGAAGCGUGAGUGACGGUAAUGGGUAUAGAAGCACCGGCUAACUACGUG
RNAcentral lists this ribosomal RNA (468 nucleotides) under uncultured bacterium. RNAcentral describes it as "partial 16S ribosomal RNA". It matches the Rfam family "Bacterial small subunit ribosomal RNA", at positions 28 to 507 of the family's 1533-position model. The record is from RNAcentral.